AUGGACGGAAAGAAGAAGCCCACUGCUGCGACUGGGAGCUCCAUCGUCGACGACCUCUUCGGCCCCAAGGACGGCGCCGCCUCCUCCUCCGCGGGCUACUUCAGCACCGUCUUCCCAACUCCAUCCGGGGCGACGGGGAAAGAUGCGUCACUCCGGGCAGCAGCAGCAGCUGGGAAUAAAUCAUCGUCGGCAGGGCAUCAGCAGCAAGGAAAGCAGCACGGGGGGUCACCUGAGUCGCCUUACUUCGGCUCCUCUUCCGUCCACUAUGGCGGCCGGGACUUCUACGCCGGCGCCGAAUCUCAGCGGCAAUAUUCGGCCGCCGCUGCCGCACCGGCACCCAAGCACAAGGACGACGGCGACACGUCGGCAGCCACCCGGGGUGACUGGUGGCAAGGUUCCCUCUACUACUAG
Molecule: ribosomal RNA, 411 nt
Filed under: Triticum aestivum (bread wheat)
Lineage: Eukaryota; Viridiplantae; Streptophyta; Magnoliopsida; Poales; Poaceae
Description: partial small subunit ribosomal RNA
Source: RNAcentral